This is a long non-coding RNA of Cydia strobilella, 242 nucleotides long. RefSeq lists it as uncharacterized. The transcript is spliced from 2 exons. Lineage: Eukaryota; Metazoa; Arthropoda; Insecta; Lepidoptera; Tortricidae. The record is from RefSeq and is a predicted model, not a curated record.
AGCUGGGCGGUACAUGUUGCCAGACAGAGUGAUGGCAGGUGGGCCAAAAUGUUAACGGAAUGGUGGCCGCUUUCAGACGAAAGGAGUGCCUGGCGUCCGUUGGCUCGUUGAGUGGACGACAUUCGGAAGACUGCGGGUCACUUCUGGAUGAGAUUGGCUCAGGACCGGGAUAAUGGCGUACUCGAAGAGAGGCCUAUGCUCAGCAGUGGGCGAUAAAAGGCUGAUAUGUUGAUGAUGAUGUA